GGCGCACGGGUGAGUAACGCGUAUGCAACCUACCUUAUACAGGGGAAUAGCCCGAAGAAAUUCGGAUUAAUGCUCCAUGGUUUAUCGAUAUGGCAUCGUAUUGAUAAUAAAGAUUUAUCGGUAUAAGAUGGGCAUGCGUAUCAUUAGCUAGUUGGUGUGGUAACGGCAUACCAAGGCAACGAUGAUUAGGGGUCCUGAGAGGGAGAUCCCCCACACUGGUACUGAGACACGGACCAGACUCCUACGGGAGGCAGCAGUGAGGAAUAUUGGUCAAUGGAGGCAACUCUGAACCAGCCAUGCCGCGUGCAGGAUGACGGUCCUAUGGAUUGUAAACUGCUUUUGUACAGGAAGAAACCUCCCUACGAGUAGGGACUUGACGGUACUGUAAGAAUAAGGAUCGGCUAACUCCGUGCCAGCAGCCGCGGUAAUACGGAGGAUCCGAGCGUUAUCCGGAAUUAUUGGGUUUAAAGGGUUCGUAGGCGGCUUUGUAAGUCAGUGGUGAAAUUUCCUAGCUUAACUAGGACACUGCCAUUGAUACUGCAGAGCUUGAAUAGUAUGGAAGUAACUAGAAUAUGUAGUGUAGCGGUGAAAUGCUUAGAUAUUACAUGGAAUACCAAUUGCGAAGGCAGGUUACUACGUAUUUAUUGACGCUGAUGAACGAAAGCGUGGGGAGCGAACAGGAUUAGAUACCCUGGUAGUCCACGCCGUAAACGAUGGAUACUAGCUGUUCGGUUUUCGGACUGAGUGGCUAAGCGAAAGUGAUAAGUAUCCCACCUGGGGAGUACGUUCGCAAGAAUGAAACUCAAAGGAAUUGACGGGGGCCCGCACAAGCGGUGGAGCAUGUGGUUUAAUUCGAUGAUACGCGAGGAACCUUACCAGGGCUUAAAUGUAGAUUGACAGAUUUGGAAACAGAUUUUUCUUCGGACAAUUUACAAGGUGCUGCAUGGUUGUCGUCAGCUCGUGCCGUGAGGUGUCAGGUUAAGUCCUAUAACGAGCGCAACCCCUAUUGUUAGUUACCAGCGCGUAGUGGCGGGGACUCUAGCAAGACUGCCGGUGCAAACCGUGAGGAAGGUGGGGAUGACGUCAAAUCAUCACGGCCCUUACGUCCUGGGCUACACACGUGCUACAAUGGCAAGUACAGAAAGCAGCUACCUGGCAACAGGAUGCGAAUCUCCAAAGCUUGUCUCAGUUCGGAUUGGAGUCUGCAACUCGACUCUAUGAAGCUGGAAUCGCUAGUAAUCGGAUAUCAGCCAUGAUCCGGUGAAUACGUUCCCGGGCCUUGUACACA
This 1288-nucleotide ribosomal RNA is filed under the name Myroides odoratimimus. Its description in RNAcentral is "bacterial SSU rRNA". It matches the Rfam family "Bacterial small subunit ribosomal RNA", at positions 97 to 1389 of the family's 1533-position model. The record is from RNAcentral. Lineage: Bacteria; Pseudomonadati; Bacteroidota; Flavobacteriia; Flavobacteriales; Flavobacteriaceae.